GCAGCAACAGAGCAGGAAGGAUAAAUGAGCAGAACUAUUGCUGACCAGCAGAAACACAGAACUUCUGGAACUGAAUACACAGGCUCCCACUGGCUUUGGUUGAUUGGGGAGUUUUUGGUGGUGGUGGCUUUGUUGUUGGUCCAUUGCAGAACAUUUUAUUUCUACCUCUCUAGGAGACACUUCAUAAUUCCAGAUCAUGUUAUUGCAUCAAGCAAACAAAAGAUUUGGUAAAAUUGCAUGAUCUAUUCUACACGGGUUGUUAGACUGGAGUAUUCAUUGACAUUGUUCACCCUGAAAUCACAAUAGAAAGCCACCAGAGCAACGGAUUACAUGCCAAACAAGAGGUCUGGCAUCACAAGACAAUAAGAAGAGGAAGCUGAC
Long non-coding RNA from Passer domesticus (house sparrow), 381 nucleotides. RefSeq lists it as uncharacterized. The transcript is spliced from 3 exons. The record is from RefSeq and is a predicted model, not a curated record. NCBI's taxonomy places the organism in Eukaryota, Metazoa, Chordata, Aves, Passeriformes, Passeridae.